UCUCUCAGGGGCUGCGGUAGCCCUUUCAGUGGAGGAGAGAUAGACUUGGCUGUGAAGCCCAGACCACAGACUGCACCCAAGGUAUGUUCUUAGGCUCCGGAGAUAUAAGGACAAAUUGGAUAUGGUCUCUGCCUUUAAUAAACUUAGAGCCUAGCAAAGAAGACAGACAAAUGAACAAGCAUUAGCAGGCCUUACACAAAAUGCUAAUGAUGGCGGUUUGCCCAGGAUGCAGAAAAACAGCUGAUAGGCACCUCACGCAGACUUGGACAAGGUGAUCACUGAAAUGGAUCUGAAGUAGCAAAUGCUAUAGCAAGAAGAUGGUAAGACAGACGUCGCUCAUACAACCGAAAGCUCGGGUAUAACAUACACGGAUUAACAGCAUGAAUAUUCAGUUUUCUGCCUGGGGAAACAAUUUUCAUAGACUCUGAAGGCGAGAAAGGCGGACUGUAAACUUCACGGGGGACAGGGACCGUGUCAAUAUUGUUUACUGCUGUGUUCCCAGUACCCGGAACAUCACUGAUGCACAAAAUGGUUGAGUAAAUAACAAAACAAAUUUACAAGUCUUCAUCCUGUAUUUCCAACAAAUGAUUAUUCAGUCUCUGAAAAGUUCUAGUAACUGGAAAACCAUCUUUGCCACUUGUCAAAAUCAGUAAACCUCUGACACCAGUAAAUUAUGUAGCUUAAGUUUCAGAGUUAGCUAAUUACAAUGUGACGUCAAAACCACAUGUUCUAUAUUUGUAUUAGAUUAUAUCUCCAAUCUCGACUAAUAACCUUUGAGAUGCUACAUAGGAAUUUACUAAGAAUGUUAAUGUGAUUAUUAUAAACUAUCCUUGCUAUGAAAAUAUAUCUCAUAACAUGCUUCUGUAGGUUUAUAGGCUCGUCAACUGUGUUAUAAUCAUCCUGUAUUUUAAGUCCCACAGAGAAUUAUAAAUACAUGUCAGAUAAUGACCUUAUUAAAUAUAAAGGCUCUUAGUCAUUUUGAGCUCUCAAAGGAAAAUAGUAAAAUCCCCACUUAUGAGUUUUGUUUUCAUUUUGAUCAUGAUAUCCACAUAUUUUAUACAUACAAUAGUGCUAAUGCAUACAUAUGCUACACCGUUGACAUCCACUUCAAAUUCAAUGGGAUUUUAAAAAUUUUUUGUAAAAAUGGGGUCUGGCUAUAUUGCCAAGGCUGAUCUUCAACUC
Molecule: non-coding RNA, 1182 nt
Organism: Macaca mulatta (Rhesus monkey)
Lineage: Eukaryota; Metazoa; Chordata; Mammalia; Primates; Cercopithecidae
Source: RefSeq, a predicted model, not a curated record